GUGCCAGCUGCCGCGGUAAUACGGAGGGUGCAAGCGUUGUCCGGAUUUAUUGGGUUUAAAGGGUGCGUAGGCGGAUGAUUAAGUCAGUGGUGAAAGCCGACAGCUCAACUGUCGAACCGCCAUUGAUACUGGUUAUCUUGAGUAUAGUUGAGGCAGGCGGAAUUUACGAUGUAGCGGUGAAAUGCAUAGAUAUCGUAAAGAACACCUAUAGCGAAGGCAGCUUGCUAAACUAUAACUGACGCUGAGGCACGAAAGCAUGGGGAGCGAACAGGAUUAGAUACCCUGGUAGUCC
RNAcentral lists this ribosomal RNA (292 nucleotides) under uncultured bacterium. Its description in RNAcentral is "partial 16S ribosomal RNA". It matches the Rfam family "Bacterial small subunit ribosomal RNA", at positions 505 to 796 of the family's 1533-position model. The record is from RNAcentral.